GACGAACGCUGGCGGCGUGCUUAACACAUGCCAGUCGAACGGAAAGGCCCUGCUUGCCGGGUACUCGAGUGGCGAACGGGUGAGUAACACGUGGGUGAUCUGCCCUGCACUUCGGGAUAAGCUUGGGAAACUGGGUCUAAUACCGGAUAGGAGCCAUCUUUAGUGUGGUGGUUGGAAAGUUUUUUCGGUGUAGGAUGAGCUCGCGGCCUAUCAGCUUGUUGGUGGGGUAAUGGCCUACCAAGGCGGCGACGGGUAGCCGGCCUGAGAGGGUGUACGGCCACAUUGGGACUGAGAUACGGCCCAGACUCCUACGGGAGGCAGCAGUGGGGAAUAUUGCACAAUGGGCGCAAGCCUGAUGCAGCGACGCCGCGUGGGGGAUGAAGGCUUUCGGGUUGUAAACUCCUUUCGCUAGGGACGAAGCUUUUUUGUGACGGUACCUAGAUAAGAAGCACCGGCUAACUACGUG
Molecule: ribosomal RNA, 466 nt
Filed under: uncultured bacterium
Lineage: Bacteria
Description: partial 16S ribosomal RNA
Rfam family: Bacterial small subunit ribosomal RNA
Source: RNAcentral